UACGUAGGGUGCAAGCGUUGUCCGGAAUUAUUGAGCGUAAAGAGCUCGUAGGCGGUUUGUCGCGUCGAAUGUGAAAACCCGGGGCUCAACUCCGGGCCUGCAUUCGAUACGGGCAGACUAGAGUUCGGUAGGGGAGACUGGAAUUCCUGGUGUAGCGGUGAAAUGCGCAGAUAUCAGGAGGAACACCGGUGGCGAAGGCGGGUCUCUGGGCCGAUACUGACGCUGAGGAGCGAAAGCGUGGGGAGCGAACAGG
Molecule: ribosomal RNA, 253 nt
Filed under: uncultured bacterium
Lineage: Bacteria
Description: partial 16S ribosomal RNA
Rfam family: Bacterial small subunit ribosomal RNA
Source: RNAcentral